Molecule: ribosomal RNA, 773 nt
Filed under: uncultured Neocallimastigales
Lineage: Eukaryota; Fungi; Neocallimastigomycota; Neocallimastigomycetes; Neocallimastigales
Description: partial large subunit ribosomal RNA
Rfam family: Eukaryotic large subunit ribosomal RNA
Source: RNAcentral
GUAGUCUCGCACAGACGCAUAUCAAUAAGCGGAGGAAAAGAAACUAACAAGGAUUCCCUUAGUAACGGCGAGUGAAGCGGGAAGAGCUCAAAUUUGAAAUCUUGAAAGGUCACCUUUCACGAAUUGUAGUCUAAAGAAGUGUUUUCUGUUACGAUCGUAAUAUAAGUUCUUUGGAAUAGGACAUCACAGAGGGUGAGAAUCCCGUCUAUGAUUGCGAUUUGUAGCUUUGUGAUUACACUUUCAAAGAGUCGGGUUGUUUAGGAAUGCAGCCCAAAACGGGAGGUAAAUUUCUUCUAAGGCUAAAUAAUUGGCGAGAGACCGAUAGCGAACAAGUACCGUGAGGGAAAGAUGAAAAGAACUUUGAAAAGAGAGUUAAAUAGUACGUGAAAUUGUCAAAAGGGAAGCGUUUAACACCAGUGUUGUUUUCUGAAAAUCAACCUCUGUUAGCUUUAUGCAUGUUUGUUUAGACCUAAUCAGCUAUCUUGCAUGUUCUAUUGUUUGCAGUGGUGCACUUUUCAGUUUACAGGUCAACAUCAGUUUUUUUUACCGUAAAAAAGUUAAAGAAAGGUAGCUCAUGGCUCCGGUCGUGAGUGUUAUAGUCUUUUUCCUAUGCGGUAGGAGAGACUGAGGUCUGCAGUGUAGGCUAUUUGGCUAGAUACUCAGGUGCUAUGUGAUACCAUUUCAUAAACAACUUGUUGAUUAUGUUUUGUCUAUUGCAUACUCGCUUGUACUAUCAUACCUACGCUUAGGAUGUUGAGUCGUAGAGCACGCAG